ACGCAACGCGAAGAACCUUACCAAGGCUUGACAUAUACCGAUAAGCAGCAGAGAUGUUGUGUCCGCAAGGUCGGUAUACAGGUGGUGCAUGGUUGUCGUCAGCUCGUGUCGUGAGAUGUUGGGUUAAGUCCCGCAACGAGCGCAACCCUCGUUCUGUGUUGCCAGCAUUUAGUUGGGGACUCACAGGAGACUGCCGUGGUCAACACGGAGGAAGGUGGGGAUGACGUCAAAUCAUCAUGCCCCUUAUGUCUUGGGCUGCACGCAUGCUACGAUGGCAGGUACAAAGGGCUGCGAUACCGUAAGGUGGAGCGAAUCCCAAAAAGUCUGUCUCAGUUCGGAUUGAGGUCUGCAACUCGACCUCAUGAAGUCGGAGUUGCUAGUAAUCGUAGAUCAGCAACGCUACGGUGAAUACGUUCCCGGGGCUUGUACACACCGCCCGUCACGUCACGAAAGUCGGUAACACCACAAAGUCAGUGGCCCAACCGCAAGGAG
RNAcentral lists this ribosomal RNA (492 nucleotides) under uncultured Actinomycetes bacterium. RNAcentral's name for it is "bacterial SSU rRNA". It matches the Rfam family "Bacterial small subunit ribosomal RNA", at positions 954 to 1448 of the family's 1533-position model. The record is from RNAcentral. Lineage: Bacteria; Bacillati; Actinomycetota; Actinomycetes.